UACGAAGGGGGCAAGCGUUGUUCGGAAUUACUGGGCGUAAAGCGUGCGUAGGUGGUUCGUUAAGUCUGAUGUGAAAGCCCUGGGCUCAACCUGGGAAUGGCAUUGGAUACUGGCGACCUAGAGUGCGGUAGAGGGGUGUGGAAUUCCCGGUGUAGCAGUGAAAUGCGUAGAUAUCGGGAGGAACAUCUGUGGCGAAGGCGACACCCUGGACCAGCACUGACACUGAGGCACGAAAGCGUGGGGAGCAAACAGG
Molecule: ribosomal RNA, 253 nt
Filed under: uncultured bacterium
Lineage: Bacteria
Description: partial 16S ribosomal RNA
Rfam family: Bacterial small subunit ribosomal RNA
Source: RNAcentral